Molecule: long non-coding RNA, 228 nt
Filed under: Dermacentor andersoni
Lineage: Eukaryota; Metazoa; Arthropoda; Arachnida; Ixodida; Ixodidae
Description: uncharacterized LOC126527151
Source: RNAcentral
GCAGGGCCAGGCAUGCCAUGGGACGUCCCUGGUGUUGAGAUCGCAGGUUCCGCAGCUGCAAGGACGAAAAACAGACAGUCAAAGAGAACACCAAGCCUUGUGUGGAGAUCCCAUAUGGCAGUCAGAACUGUCGAAGUAUUAUGUGAAAAAGCUGGAAGAUGAAACAAGUUCACUGCUUCAUCACCUACCAGGUGCCAACAUAAUAAAAUUCGGUCACAGCAAACUGUA